RNAcentral lists this ribosomal RNA (440 nucleotides) under uncultured bacterium. RNAcentral's name for it is "partial 16S ribosomal RNA". It matches the Rfam family "Bacterial small subunit ribosomal RNA", at positions 338 to 795 of the family's 1533-position model. The record is from RNAcentral.
CCUACGGGAGGCAGCAGUGGGGAAUAUUGCACAAUGGGGGAAACCCUGAUGCAGCGACGCCGCGUGAGUGAAGAAGUAAUUCGUUAUGUAAAGCUCUAUCAGCAGGGAAGAAAAUGACGGUACCUGAGUAAGAAGCCCCGGCUAACUACGUGCCAGCAGCCGCGGUACUACGUAGGGGGCAAGCUUUAUCCGGAUUUACUGGGUGUAAAGGGAGCGUAGACGGCAGUGCAGGUCUGGAGUGAAAGGCGGGGGCUAAACCCCCGGACUGCUCUGGAAACUGUACGGCUGGAGUGCAGGUGAGGUAAGUGGAAUGCGUAGUGUAGCGGUGAAAUGCGUAGAUAUUAGGCGGAACACCAGUUGCGAAGGCGGCUUACUGGACUGUAACUGACGUUGAGGCUCGAAAGCGUGGGGAGCAAACAGGAUUAGAUACCCCUGUAGUC